AAUCACUCCUGUAGAAUGCAGAUGCACAAUGAGGGACGUCUGCAGAGACUGAGAAAGAGUCUCACCACAUCCUGACAUGAGGAAAAAGACUUUAUUGAAGACUACGAUGAGAAAAACUAUCAGACAGCAGACGGCUGCAUUCAAGUCUGUAGCUGCUGAAUUCAUGGAUGAAUCAUCUGGCACUAGAGAAGAAGACCAUCAAACAUCCACGUCAGCUGAUGGAGGUCCAAGAGUCUCACCAAACAACCAACCUACAGAGUGAAGACCUCAAAUCUGAUUGGAUGGCCUCCUAUUCAGCCACGUGUGAACAAAUGCCUCUAAGCUGAUUUGUUUUCUAAAAUAAAUCUAGUUUGAGUCCUAAUCUAUGCCUGUGUGUUUGCUCCUUUACACUGCUGUUAACAGUUUAGGCUGUUAGAUUGUUCCAGAUAAGACAAGUACAAGAUUCUUCAGAGCCGG
Molecule: long non-coding RNA, 456 nt
Organism: Amphiprion ocellaris (clown anemonefish)
Lineage: Eukaryota; Metazoa; Chordata; Actinopteri; Pomacentridae
Source: Ensembl